GCCGAACUAGUUCAGUUGGGAGAGGGUUAGACUGAAGAUUUAAAGGUUCCUGGUUCGAUCCCGGGUUACGAUA
Molecule: transfer RNA, 73 nt
Filed under: Cordylochernes scorpioides
Lineage: Eukaryota; Metazoa; Arthropoda; Arachnida; Pseudoscorpiones; Chernetidae
Description: tRNA-Phe
Rfam family: tRNA
About the family: Transfer RNA (tRNA) molecules are approximately 80 nucleotides in length.
Source: RNAcentral